GGAUAACUACCCUUUAGGACCGGGAUAACCCUGGGAAACUGGGGAUAAUACUGGAUAGGCAAUUUUUCCUGUAAUGGUUUUUUGUUUAAAUGUUUUUUCGCCUAAGGAUGGGUCUGCGGCCGAUUAGGUAGUUGGUUAGGUAAUGGCUUACCAAGCCGUUGAUCGGUACGGGUUGUGAGAGCAAGAGCCCGGAGAUGGAACCUGAGACAAGGUUCCAGGCCCUACGGGGCGCAGCAGGCGCGAAACCUCCGCAAUGUGAGAAAUCGCGACGGGGGGAUCCCAAGUGCCAUUCUUAACGGGAUGGCUUUUCAUUAGUGUAAAGAGCUUUUGGAAUAAGGGCUGGGCAAGACCGGUGCCAGCCGCCGCGGUAACACCGGCAGCUCUAGUGGUAGCAGUUUUUAUUGGGCCUAAAGCGUCCGUAGCCGGUUUAAUAAGUCUCUGGUGAAAUCCUGUAGCUUAACUGUGGGAAUUGCUGGAGAUACUAUUAGACUUGAGACCGGGAGAGGUUAGAGGUACUCCCAGGGUAGAGGUGAAAUUCUGUAAUCCUGGGAGGACCGCCUGUUGCGAAGGCGUCUAACUGGAACGGUUCUGACGGUGAGGGACGAAAGUUAGGGGCGCGAACCGGAUUAGAUACCCGGGUAGUCCUAACUGUAAACGAUGCGGACUUGGUGUUGGGGUGGCUUUGAGCUGCUCCAGUGCCGAAGGGAAGCUGUUAAGUCCGCCGCCUGGGAAGUACGGUCGCAAGACUGAAACUUA
This 756-nucleotide ribosomal RNA is filed under the name uncultured archaeon. RNAcentral's name for it is "bacterial SSU rRNA". It matches the Rfam family "Archaeal small subunit ribosomal RNA", at positions 102 to 858 of the family's 1478-position model. The record is from RNAcentral.